GGCAUUGUGGCUUAGUGGUAGAGUGCUUGCCUAGCAUGCAUGAAGCCCUGGGUUCGAUUCCUCAGGGCCA
This 70-nucleotide transfer RNA is filed under the name Dipodomys ordii (Ord's kangaroo rat). It matches the Rfam family "tRNA". Rfam says of the family: Transfer RNA (tRNA) molecules are approximately 80 nucleotides in length. Their secondary structure includes four short double-helical elements and three loops (D, anti-codon, and T loops). Further hydrogen bonds mediate the characteristic L-shaped molecular structure. tRNAs have two regions of fundamental functional importance: the anti-codon, which is responsible for specific mRNA codon recognition, and the 3' end, to which the tRNAs corresponding amino acid is attached (by aminoacyl-tRNA synthetases). tRNAs cope with the degeneracy of the genetic code in two manners: having more than one tRNA (with a specific anti-codon) for a particular amino acid; and 'wobble' base-pairing, i.e. permitting non-standard base-pairing at the 3rd anti-codon position. The record is from Rfam by way of RNAcentral. Lineage: Eukaryota; Metazoa; Chordata; Mammalia; Rodentia; Heteromyidae.